GGGGGUGUAGAUCAGUGGUACAGCAUGUACUUAGCAUGCUAAAGGCCCUGGGUUCAAUCCACAGCCCCCCCC
RNAcentral lists this transfer RNA (72 nucleotides) under Marmota monax (woodchuck). RNAcentral's name for it is "tRNA.Ala". The record is from RNAcentral. Lineage: Eukaryota; Metazoa; Chordata; Mammalia; Rodentia; Sciuridae.